UAAUACGUAGGGGGCAAGCGUUGUCCGGAAUCAUUGGGCGUAAAGCGCGCGUAGGCGGCCCGGUAAGUCCGUUGUGAAAGUCAAAGGCUCAACCUUUGAAUGCCGAUGGAUACUGCCGGGCUCGAGUCCGGAAGAGGCGAGUGGAAUUCCUGGUGUAGCGGUGGAAUGCGCAGAUAUCAGGAGGAACACCAAUAGCGAAGGCAGCUCGCUGGGACGGUACUGACGCUAAGGCGCGAAAGCGUGGGGAGCGAACAGGAUUAGAUACCCUGGUAGUCCACGCCGUAAACGAUGGGCACUAGGUGUGGGAGGUGUCGACUCCUCCCGUGCCGCCGCUAACGCAUUAAGUGCCCCGCCUGGGGAGUACGGCCGCAAGGCUA
Molecule: ribosomal RNA, 377 nt
Filed under: uncultured bacterium
Lineage: Bacteria
Description: bacterial SSU rRNA
Rfam family: Bacterial small subunit ribosomal RNA
Source: RNAcentral